GACGAACGCUGGCGGCGUGCUUAACACAUGCAAGUCGAACGGACCUGUUUUUGAAGCGCUUCGGCGUGGAGGGAGCGGGUUAGUGGCGCACGGGUGAGUAAUGCGCGAGGACCUGCCCGCGGGAGGGGGACAGCAGUUGGAAACGGCUGGUGAUACCCCGUAAGCCGGGAGGUGAAAGGGCGGAGACGCCCGCCUGCGGAUGGACUCGCGUCCUAUCAGCUAGUUGGUGAGGCAACGGCUCACCAAGGCGACGACGGGUAGCCGGCCUGAGAGGGUGUCCGGCCACACUGGAACUGAGACACGGUCCAGACUCCUACGGGAGGCAGCAGUGGGGAAUUUUGGGCAAUGGGGGAGACCCUGACCCAGCGACGCCGCGUGAGGGACGAAGGCCCUUGGGUCGUAAACCUCUUUUGCAGGGGAAGAAGUAGAUGACGGUACCUUGCGAAUAAGUCCCGGCUAACUACGUG
Molecule: ribosomal RNA, 467 nt
Filed under: uncultured bacterium
Lineage: Bacteria
Description: bacterial SSU rRNA
Rfam family: Bacterial small subunit ribosomal RNA
Source: RNAcentral